ACGCUCGACACCUACGUGAGGCAGCAGUGGGGAAUAUUGCACAAUGGGGGAAACCCUGAUGCAGCAACGCCGCGUGAAGGAAGACGGUUUUCGGAUUGUAAACUUCUGUUCUUAGUGAAGAUAGUGACGGUAGCUAAGGAGCAAGCCACGGCUAACUACGUGCCAGCAGCCGCGGUAAUCUGAGCGGGCUGGCAAGGC
Molecule: ribosomal RNA, 198 nt
Filed under: uncultured bacterium
Lineage: Bacteria
Description: partial 16S ribosomal RNA
Rfam family: Bacterial small subunit ribosomal RNA
Source: RNAcentral